GACGAACGCUGGCGGCGUGCUUAACACAUGCAAGUCGAACGGAAAGGCCCUGCUUUUGUGGGGUGCUCGAGUGGCGAACGGGUGAGUAACAUGGGAGUAACCUGCCCUUGACUUUGGGAUAACUGCAGGAAACUGGGGCUAAUACCGGAGAGGAGCUCCUGCUGCAUGGUGGGGGUUGGAAAGCUUCGGCGGUUGGGGAUGGACUCGGGGCUUAUCAGCUUGUUGGUGGGGUAGUGGCCUACCAAGGCUUUGACGGGUAGCCGGCCUGAGAGGGUGACCGGCCACAAUGGGACUGAGAUACGGCCCAGACUCCUACGGGAGGCAGCAGUGGGGAGUAUUGCACAAUGGGCGGAAGCCUGAUGCAGAGGCGCCGCGUGCGGGAUGCCGGCCUUCGGGUUGUAAACCGCUUUCGCCUGUGACGAAGCGUGAGUGACGGUAAUGGGUAAAGAAGCACCGGCUAACUACGUG
RNAcentral lists this ribosomal RNA (468 nucleotides) under uncultured bacterium. RNAcentral describes it as "partial 16S ribosomal RNA". It matches the Rfam family "Bacterial small subunit ribosomal RNA", at positions 28 to 507 of the family's 1533-position model. The record is from RNAcentral.